GUGGGUAUAGCUUGGUGGUAGAGCUCAUGCUUAGCAUGCACCAGGUCCUGAGUUCAAUCCCAGUACCUCCA
This 71-nucleotide transfer RNA is filed under the name Camelus bactrianus (Bactrian camel). It matches the Rfam family "tRNA". Rfam says of the family: Transfer RNA (tRNA) molecules are approximately 80 nucleotides in length. Their secondary structure includes four short double-helical elements and three loops (D, anti-codon, and T loops). RNAcentral also lists the same sequence under 2 other names. The record is from Rfam by way of RNAcentral. Lineage: Eukaryota; Metazoa; Chordata; Mammalia; Artiodactyla; Camelidae.